Trichomycterus rosablanca is the source of this 558-nucleotide long non-coding RNA. RefSeq lists it as uncharacterized. The transcript has 4 exons. The record is from RefSeq and is a predicted model, not a curated record. Lineage: Eukaryota; Metazoa; Chordata; Actinopteri; Siluriformes; Trichomycteridae.
AGCGGUCCAGGUCCUGUCUGUGUGGAAAAAAUCACAAAUAACUGCAGUAUUUGCUUCUCCAAAGAUUUCGCAAAUCACAGAGAAAACAGCCCAGGAGCCACGGAAGAUCAAGGAGUACGAACGGCUCAAAGUUAACAACGCACAUGCUGAAAGAAUGGAACGGGAUCAAAGGACAGUACCUGAGGAUCUGCUGGCUGAAGGUGUCCUUCUGUUCGUCAGAGACGCGAGAGGAAGGGAAGCCUGGAGACUGCAGGGCCUCUUUAAGCCACACAGUGAGCAGACUAAAACAAUGCUUAUUCAUGGAGAACAACACCUCUGCAAACUGAUCCAUCAAGCUGCGUGAUGACUGGCCACCAAUGGCCUAGAAAGAAGCCCAGUAAAGGUAGGGGGUCACAACAGACCCUGGAAUUACAGAAAAGAAGAGGAGGGGAGAGAAAGAAAGUGACAGGAGAGAGAGAAACCCAAAGUGAAUGAAAUAAGAAACCAAAAACACACCUGAGCUUGGAGUUGCAUAAAUGAAUCAACAAUAUCAGGAUGAUCCCUGGGCCCUAAAAUAUA